This 425-nucleotide ribosomal RNA is filed under the name uncultured bacterium. Its description in RNAcentral is "partial 16S ribosomal RNA". It matches the Rfam family "Bacterial small subunit ribosomal RNA", at positions 354 to 796 of the family's 1533-position model. The record is from RNAcentral.
GUGGGGAAUCUUGCGCAAUGGGCGAAAGCCUGACGCAGCCAUGCCGCGUGAAUGAUGAAGGUCUUAGGAUUGUAAAAUUCUUUCACCGGGGACGAUAAUGACGGUACCCGGAGAAGAAGCUCCGGCUAACUUCGUGCCAGCAGCCGCGGUAAUACGAAGGGGGCUAGCGUUGCUCGGAAUUACUGGGCGUAAAGGGCGCGUAGGCGGACAGUUUAGUCAGAGGUGAAAGCCCAGGGCUCAACCUUGGAAUUGCCUUUGAUACUGGCUGUCUUGAGUACGGGAGAGGUGAGUGGAACUCCGAGUGUAGAGGUGAAAUUCGUAGAUAUUCGGAAGAACACCAGUGGCGAAGGCGACUCACUGGCCCGUUACUGACGCUGAGGCGCGAAAGCGUGGGGAGCAAACAGGAUUAGAAAUCCCUGUAGUCC